CGCAGAGUUGAGCAGUCUGGUAGCUCGUCGGACUCAUGUUCCGAUCGUCAUGGGUUCAAAUCCCAUCUCUGCAA
RNAcentral lists this transfer RNA (74 nucleotides) under Clostridium sulfidigenes. RNAcentral's name for it is "tRNA-Met". It matches the Rfam family "tRNA". Rfam says of the family: Transfer RNA (tRNA) molecules are approximately 80 nucleotides in length. Their secondary structure includes four short double-helical elements and three loops (D, anti-codon, and T loops). Further hydrogen bonds mediate the characteristic L-shaped molecular structure. tRNAs have two regions of fundamental functional importance: the anti-codon, which is responsible for specific mRNA codon recognition, and the 3' end, to which the tRNAs corresponding amino acid is attached (by aminoacyl-tRNA synthetases). tRNAs cope with the degeneracy of the genetic code in two manners: having more than one tRNA (with a specific anti-codon) for a particular amino acid; and 'wobble' base-pairing, i.e. permitting non-standard base-pairing at the 3rd anti-codon position. The record is from RNAcentral. Lineage: Bacteria; Bacillati; Bacillota; Clostridia; Eubacteriales; Clostridiaceae.